AGCAGCCGCGGUAAUUCCAGCUCCAAUAGCGUAUAUUAAAGUUGUUGCAGUUAAAAAGCUCGUAGUUGAAUUUCGGGAUCAAUGUUUCGGUCAUGCCCUUGGUAUGUACUGAUAUUAUUGGUUUCUCACCUUCUAAAGAACCGUAAUGCCAUUAAUUUGGUGUCACGGGGAAUUAGGACUGUUACCUUGAAAAAAUUAGAGUGUUUAAAGCAGGCUCACGCUUGAAUACAUUAGCAUGGAAUAAUGAAAUAGGACAUCCGAUCCUAUUUUGUUGGUUUCUAGGAUCGAUGUAAUGAUUAAUAGGGAUAGUUGGGGGCAUUAGUAUUCAAUUGUCAGAGGUGAAAUUCUUGGAUUUAUUGAAGACUAACUACUGCGAAAGCAUUUGCCAAGGAUGUUUUCAUUAAUCAAGAACGAAAGUUAGGGGAUCGAAGACGAUCAGAUACCGUCGUAGUCUUAACCAUAAACUAUGCCGACUAGGGAUCGGAUGAUGUUAAUUUUUUAAUGACUCA
RNAcentral lists this ribosomal RNA (509 nucleotides) under uncultured glomeraceous AM fungus. RNAcentral describes it as "SSU rRNA". It matches the Rfam family "Eukaryotic small subunit ribosomal RNA", at positions 569 to 1078 of the family's 1831-position model. Lineage: Eukaryota; Fungi; Glomeromycota; Glomeromycetes; Glomerales; Glomeraceae. The record is from RNAcentral.